Molecule: long non-coding RNA, 217 nt
Filed under: Gossypium raimondii (Peruvian cotton)
Lineage: Eukaryota; Viridiplantae; Streptophyta; Magnoliopsida; Malvales; Malvaceae
Description: long non-coding RNA (GRAI_LNC001515)
Source: RNAcentral
UCGGAGGCUGCUGAGGCUUCUGUAAGCAUAGAGGCUAAAGGCUAUGGUUUUGGGGUUUGAGGCAUAUUUUGGUCUAGGCUUAGGCUAGUUGGGUUAGGGGUUUGUUUAAUUUUGGGCUUAGUUUGUUAAGCAUUGGGCUGUAUUUUGUUUGUAAUCUGGACAUUAUUUUUUUGGACCAUUGUUUGUUUUAUCUGAUUUAUGGGCCGGGCAAAAAUGG